GUGACUGCGUACCUUUUGUAUAAUGGGUCAGCGACUUAUAUUCUGUAGCAAGGUUAACCGAAUAGGGGAGCCGGAGGGAAACCGAGUCUUAAUUGGGCGUUAAGUUGCAGGGUAUAGACCCGAAACCCGGUGAUCUAGCCAUGGGCAGGUUGAAGGUUGGGUAACACUAACUGGAGGACCGAACCGACUAAUGUUGAAAAAUUAGCGGAUGACCUGUGGCUGGGGGUGAAAGGCCAAUCAAACCGGGAGAUAGCUGGUUCUCCCCGAAAGCUAUUUAGGUAGCGCCUCGUGAAUUCAUCUCCGGGGGUAGAGCACUGUUUCGGCUAGGGGGCCAUCCCGGCUUACCAACCCGAUGCAAACUGCGAAUACCGGAGAAUGUUAUCACGGGAGACACACGGCGGGUGCUAACGUCCGUCGUGAAGAGGGAAACAACCCAGACCGCCAGCUAAGGUCCCAAAGUCAUGGUUAAGUGGGAAACGAUGUGGGAAGGCCCAGACAGCCAGGAUGUUGGCUUAGAAGCAGCCAUCAUUUAAAGAAAGCGUAAUAGCUCACUGGUCGAGUCGGCCUGCGCGGAAGAUGUAACGGGGCUAAACCAUGCACCGAAGCUGCGGCAGCGACGCUGAUGCGUUGUUGGGUAGGGGAGCGUUCUGUAAGCCUGCGAAGGUGGCCUGUGAGGGUUGCUGGAGGUAUCAGAAGUGCGAAUGCUGACAUAAGUAACGAUAAAGCGGGUGAAAAGCCCGCUCGCCGGAAGACCAAGGGUUCCUGUCCAACGUUAAUCGGGGCAGGGUGAGUCGACCCCUAAGGCGAGGCCGAAAGGCGUAGUCGAUGGGAAACGGGUUAAUAUUCCCGUACUUGGUGUUACUGCGAAGGGGGGACGGAGAAGGCUAUGUUGGCCGGGCGACGGUUGUCCCGGUUUAAGCGUGUAGGUGUGUGUUCCAGGUAAAUCCGGUUCACUUUAACACUGAGGCGUGAUGACGAGGCACUACGGUGCUGAAGCAACAAAUGCCCUGCUUCCAGGAAAAGCCUCUAAGCAUCAGGUAACAUCAAAUCGUACCCCAAACCGACACAGGUGGUCAGGUAGAGAAUACCAAGGCGCUUGAGAGAACUCGGGUGAAGGAACUAGGCAAAAUGGUGCCGUAACUUCGGGAGAAGGCACGCUGACACGUAGGUGAAGUGAUUUACUCAUGGAGCUGAAGUCAGUCGAAGAUACCAGCUGGCUGCAACUGUUUAUUAAAAACACAGCACUGUGCAAACACGAAAGUGGACGUAUACGGUGUGACGCCUGCCCGGUGCCGGAAGGUUAAUUGAUGGGGUCAGCGCAAGCGAAGCUCCUGAUCGAAGCCCCGGUAAACGGCGGCCGUAACUAUAACGGUCCUAAGGUAGCGAAAUUCCUUGUCGGGUAAGUUCCGACCUGCACGAAUGGCGUAAUGAUGGCCAGGCUGUCUCCACCCGAGACUCAGUGAAAUUGAACUCGCUGUGAAGAUGCAGUGUACCCGCGGCAAGACGGAAAGACCCCGUGAACCUUUACUAUAGCUUGACACUGAACAUUGAGCCUUGAUGUGUAGGAUAGGUGGGAGGCUUUGAAGUGUGGACGCCAGUCUGCAUGGAGCCGACCUUGAAAUACCACCCUUUAAUGUUUGAUGUUCUAACGUGGACCCGUGAUCCGGGUUGCGGACAGUGUCUGGUGGGUAGUUUGACUGGGGCGGUCUCCUCCUAAAGAGUAACGGAGGAGCACGAAGGUUGGCUAAUCCUGGUCGGACAUCAGGAGGUUAGUGCAAUGGCAUAAGCCAGCUUGACUGCGAGCGUGACGGCGCGAGCAGGUGCGAAAGCAGGUCAUAGUGAUCCGGUGGUUCUGAAUGGAAGGGCCAUCGCUCAACGGAUAAAAGGUACUCCGGGGAUAACAGGCUGAUACCGCCCAAGAGUUCAUAUCGACGGCGGUGUUUGGCACCUCGAUGUCGGCUCAUCACAUCCUGGGGCUGAAGUAGGUCCCAAGGGUAUGGCUGUUCGCCAUUUAAAGUGGUACGCGAGCUGGGUUUAGAACGUCGUGAGACAGUUCGGUCCCUAUCUGCCGUGGGCGCUGGAGAACUGAGGGGGGCUGCUCCUAGUACGAGAGGACCGGAGUGGACGCAUCACUGGUGUUCGGGUUGUCAUGCCAAUGGCACUGCCCGGUAGCUAAAUGCGGAAGAGAUAAGUGCUGAAAGCAUCUAAGCACGAAACUUGCCCCGAGAUGAGUUCUCCCUGAGACUUUAGGUCUCCUGAAGGAACGUUGAAGACGAC
This 2277-nucleotide ribosomal RNA is filed under the name Salmonella enterica subsp. enterica serovar Brandenburg. RNAcentral describes it as "bacterial LSU rRNA". It matches the Rfam family "Bacterial large subunit ribosomal RNA", at positions 593 to 2848 of the family's 2925-position model. Lineage: Bacteria; Pseudomonadati; Pseudomonadota; Gammaproteobacteria; Enterobacterales; Enterobacteriaceae. The record is from RNAcentral.